GCGUGAGUGACGAAGGCCAUAGGGUUGUAAAGCUCUUUCACCUGCGACGAUGAUGACGGUAGCAGGAGAAGAAGCCCCGGCUAACUCCGUGCCAGCAGCCGCGGUAAUACGGAGGGGGCAAGCGUUGUUCGGAAUUACUGGGCGUAAAGGGCGCGUAGGCGGGCGCACAAGUCAGAGGUGAAAGUCCUGGGCUCAACCUGGGGACUGCCUUUGAAACUGUGUGUCUUGAGUUCGGGAGAGGAGUGUGGAAUUCCCAGUGUAGAGGUGAAAUUCGU
This 275-nucleotide ribosomal RNA is filed under the name uncultured bacterium. RNAcentral's name for it is "partial 16S ribosomal RNA". It matches the Rfam family "Bacterial small subunit ribosomal RNA", at positions 399 to 691 of the family's 1533-position model. The record is from RNAcentral.